AUUGAACGCUGGCGGCAUGCCUUACACAUGCAAGUCGAACGGCAGCACGGGAGCAAUCCUGGUGGCGAGUGGCGAACGGGUGAGUAAUAUAUCGGAACGUGCCCGGUCGUGGGGAUAACGUAGCGAAAGCUACGCUAAUACCGCAUACGAUCUAAGGAUGAAAGCGGGGGAUCGCAAGACCUCGCGCGAUUGGAGCGGCCGAUAUCAGAUUAGGUAGUUGGUGAGGUAAAGGCUCACCAAGCCAACGAUCUGUAGCUGGUCUGAGAGGACGACCAGCCACACUGGAACUGAGACACGGUCCAGACUCCUACGGGAGGCAGCAGUGGGGAAUUUUGGACAAUGGACGCAAGUCUGAUCCAGCCAUUCCGCGUGCAGGAUGAAGGCCCUCGGGUUGUAAACUGCUUUUGUACGGAACGAACGGUGAGCUCUAAUACAGUUUGCUAAUGACGGUACCGUAAGAAUAAGNACCGGCUAACUACGUG
RNAcentral lists this ribosomal RNA (482 nucleotides) under uncultured bacterium. Its description in RNAcentral is "bacterial SSU rRNA". It matches the Rfam family "Bacterial small subunit ribosomal RNA", at positions 30 to 507 of the family's 1533-position model. The record is from RNAcentral.